GCUGGAUGGUGAAAACUGCUUUCAAUGUAGCAAGGAAGCAAUGGACUGUGUUACGAGACAAAUGAUAUGUCUGUUGUUCUUUGUGACGUCAACAGCAAGCAACAACUCACCGUGACAUCAGGCAGCAAGCUUAUCUAUUGUUUAAUGUCAGCAGUGUAGUAGUCUGCAUGUGUGGUAGCCACUCUGGGCAGUGCCACUUGAAUCAGUAUUUGGAAUAUGAGGCAUGAUAGCCCAUCCACAAGUACAUAUCUAAAGUGGUUCAGAUGAAGGGUGGUCUUGCAAAAGUCGCCCUUUGUGUCCCCAGGUGGCAUAGACACUGCUGAUUUCCCUCUCCAGAGAAGCAGAGGCUGGAUCCCCUUCUCAGGACAGACUCCUUGCCAGGAAGCCACAGCCAUGAGGAAAGCUCAUCAGGUUUUUACUGGCACUUGUGCAGUAAAUAAGGUCAUAAAGGCCCUGUUAAAGGACACAAAAGCUCACCAUGAGCUCUGGAGGAUGUCAGGAAGAUUGAAA
Molecule: long non-coding RNA, 510 nt
Organism: Haliaeetus leucocephalus (bald eagle)
Lineage: Eukaryota; Metazoa; Chordata; Aves; Accipitriformes; Accipitridae
Exons: 3
Source: RefSeq, a predicted model, not a curated record